GAGGCUCCUUUAACAGACGCUGUUGAGGAGCAAGCUGAAGUAGAGGAAGAGACACCAGAGGAAGAAAUAACUGAGGAGGAAACAGAACCAGCGGCAGAAGAAGAAGCAGCACAUGGUGGUGCAGCGAGCGCUCCUGAGAUGGAGGAACUGUGGAAAGACGAGCCUACAGAAACGUAGGCCACGGCAGUCGCCGCUGUGAUGGAGCAGGGACCACUGACACUGCAUCAGCACCAUCUCAGCUCAGAUGAUGAUGCCCCUCUCCAGAGAAAUGAUUGAGUUGUCACGGCAACAAUCGCCCCUCUCCCCCCCUUUCAUCCCACCCUUUAAAUUUCCCUUUUAGUGUCAGUGUGUGAUGAUGUUCACUAAUAUGCUUCCUUUACCUUUGUUGUUUCUUUCAGGUUUUGGCUCAUUCUUUGUUUUCCUGUUUCCUUCAGGGUGUUUUAGUUGAGUGUGUUUGGGCAGAUGUCCACUCCCUGUGACGUACGAGUGUGUGCUGCACUCGCAGUCUUGUACCUCUCAGCAAACAGAGCUGGAGCUGCACGUUAAGAAGCUUCACACUUUAAAGUGUUGGAGCAACCAAAUCAAAUCCCCACUGAGAGCUGCUGCUCGGUGUAGAGAGGACUCUAUGCAAAGGUGUGACGCGCGUCACCCACCUCCUUCCUCCCCCUCCUCCUCCUUAGCAUCAGGUGAAUUUACCACUCAGUGUCGACUCCAGGAUGAGCCAUAUGCUAACACAUGAACUGUGUUUGUGAGUAAUGUUAUGUGCUGACAGAUCUUUGCUUCUCCUUCUUGUUGUGUGAGCUGCAGUUUAGUUUUGCAGACUGUGUUUGACUCUUUUUGUUAUCUCACUACAUCAAACUGUAUUCUGUCGACUCCCAGCCGGAUCUUCUGUUCGCACAGCUGAACUGUGAGGGCAGCACGGACGCUGCGCCCCUCCACGUUUAUAACAGUGGCUCAUUCCUGUGGAAAUCCAGCCUCUCCGUAGAGGCUCAACGCCACCCUGUCACACACAAUAAUGUCAAAUCUUAUUUUGAAGGCCAGAUGUAGACUCAAACAUCGUUUCUGUUUGUUCUGUAAACAUAAGUCACCUUGCUUCACUCGAGGAUGAUGAUGUGAAAACGCUGUAGGAAUCAGUAAACACUACGUGUGGUCCUCACUUACUGUAACUGUUUGUUAGGGGUGCGACAGCUCUUUCUCCUGUAACACUAGCUGGUGUUUCCGUUUGCUGAAACUCAAUGUGAACUGAACCUUUGUAACAUUGAAAAGUAGAAUCUUUACUGAGAGACAACUUUUAGAUUUUUUAAUAGAUUUUUUAAAAAGAAUUUGGAGAGAUGAGAAGAAUUCUUAUGAUGCUUGCGGUGCUUUGUACUAAGCCAUAAGCUGUUUGCUGACUUUGUCCUGUGAAGCACAAACAGAGAAACACUGUUUUUCAGUACUCGGCCCUGGUCACAGGUCACGUUCACGUCUCAGAGGGUUGUGGCGCACAGGCAGCUCUGUUGCUAAGCAGAGGCCACUUCUGAUGAACACUAUGCAACAAAGUAUCAAUGAUGACAGAGGAGUGGAGGGGGCGUGGCCACCCUCUUCCAUGACAUGCUGUCUUUGAGCCACAGCCCUCAGAUUAUGGUUGAGUGUGCAGGUGUGACACUGUGCUGACUAAAUGAUCAUGAAGUGGGAAGUUUUUCUGUUCUGGGAGCUACAAUAAACGAUUUGGGACAACA
Molecule: non-coding RNA, 1718 nt
Organism: Neolamprologus brichardi
Lineage: Eukaryota; Metazoa; Chordata; Actinopteri; Cichliformes; Cichlidae
Source: RefSeq, a predicted model, not a curated record